UACGUAGGGGGCAAGCGUUGUUCGGAAUUACUGGGCGUAAAGGGCGCGUAGGCGGCAGGCCAAGUCGGAAGUGAAAGCCCAGGGCUCAACCCUGGAAUGUCUUACGAAACUGGCCAGCUUGAGUGCGGAAGAGGCAACUGGAAUUCCCAGUGUAGCGGUGAAAUGCGUAGAUAUUGGGAAGAACACCUGAGGCGAAGGCGGGUUGCUGGGCCGACACUGACGCUGAGGCGCGAAAGCCAGGGGAGCAAACGGG
RNAcentral lists this ribosomal RNA (253 nucleotides) under uncultured bacterium. RNAcentral's name for it is "partial 16S ribosomal RNA". It matches the Rfam family "Bacterial small subunit ribosomal RNA", at positions 524 to 776 of the family's 1533-position model. The record is from RNAcentral.